GACCUAGUGGUGAAUGGUUCAUACCUGCUCUCCUUUAGUGCUCGUCUUUUGAGUGCACAGCAGGAGGCCCCGGUUCGACUCCGGGCUGGGUCA
Mycena latifolia is the source of this 93-nucleotide non-coding RNA. The record is from the annotation of a GenBank genome assembly. Lineage: Eukaryota; Fungi; Basidiomycota; Agaricomycetes; Agaricales; Mycenaceae.